CCCCUCCCCUCCGCUCACCUUAAAACCACCGUGCAUCACCAUGGCGAGUUGCUCCUUCGCUGGCGACUAAGCGCUAAGGAGACUGAGAGCCGCAGCAGCAGCAGCCUCCGCAGCUCUAGCAGCAGUGGCGACCACCCCGCUUCUUUCCUCGGGAACCCCGACCGCACUCAUUGGGACCGGGUCGUCCUGUCCGGGAGCCAUGUGGCUCUCCCCAGCCACUGGCUCCCGGUCAGACUCCGAGUCCGACGAGGAGGACCUCCCCGUCGGGGAUGAAGUCUGCAAACGCGGCUACCUGCGGAAGCAGAAGCAUGGGCAGAGGCGUUACUUCGUGCUCAAACUCGAGACCGAAGACGCUCCGGCUCGGCUCGAAUACUACCAAAAUGCCAGGAAGUUCCGGCUCAGUGUCCGUGCCGCGGCGGCUGCCGCAGCCGCGGCCGC
This 438-nucleotide long non-coding RNA is filed under the name Rattus norvegicus (Norway rat). RNAcentral's name for it is "long non-coding RNA NONRATT031176". The record is from RNAcentral. Lineage: Eukaryota; Metazoa; Chordata; Mammalia; Rodentia; Muridae.